Molecule: ribosomal RNA, 611 nt
Filed under: Trichosporon coremiiforme
Lineage: Eukaryota; Fungi; Basidiomycota; Tremellomycetes; Trichosporonales; Trichosporonaceae
Description: eukaryotic LSU rRNA
Rfam family: Eukaryotic large subunit ribosomal RNA
Source: RNAcentral
UACAGGAUUCCCCUAGUACGGCGAGUGAAGCGGGAAGAGCUCAAAUUUGAAAUCUGGCAGUCUUCGAUUGUCCGAGUUGUAAUCUAUAGAGGCGUUUUCCGUGCCGGACCGUGUCCAAGUCUCCUGGAAAGGAGUAUCAAAGAGGGUGAUAAUCCCGUACUUAACACGACCACCGGUGCUCUGUGAUACGUCUUCUACGAGUCGAGUUGUUUGGGAAUGCAGCUCAAAAUGGGUGGUGAAUUCCAUCUAAAGCUAAAUAUUGGCGAGAGACCGAUAGCGAACAAGUACCGUGAGGGAAAGAUGAAAAGCACUUUGGAAAGAGAGUUAAACAGUACGUGAAAUUGUUGAAAGGGAAACGAUUGAAGUCAGUCGUGUUCUUUGGAUUCAGCCAGUUCUGCUGGUCUACUUCCUUUGAACGGGUCAACAUCAGUUUUGUCCGGUGGAUAAAGGCAGUAGGAAUGUAGCUUCUCCGGAAGUGUUAUAGCCUAUUGUCACAUACACUGGGUGAGACUGAGGACUGCAGCUCGCCUUUAUGGCCGACCUUCGGGUACGUUCGAGCUUAGGAUGUUGACAUAAUGGCUUUAAACGACCGCGNGNAAAANCCCGGACNA